CCUACGGGGCGCAGCAGUGGGGGAUAUUGCACAAUGGGGGAAACCCUGAUGCAGCGACGCCGCGUGGGUGAAGAAGUAUUUCGGUAUGUAAAGCCCUAUCAGCAGGGAAGAAAGAAGACGGUACCUGACUAAGAAGCCCCGGCUAACUACGUGCCAGCAGCCGCGGUAAUACGUAGGGGGCGAGCGUUAUCCGGAUUUACUGGGUGUAAAGGGGGCGCAGACGGCAAUGCAAGCCAGGAGUGAAAGCCCGGGGCCCAACCCCGGGACUGCUCUUGGAACUGCAUGGCUGGAGGACAGGAGGGGCG
This 305-nucleotide ribosomal RNA is filed under the name uncultured bacterium. RNAcentral's name for it is "bacterial SSU rRNA". It matches the Rfam family "Bacterial small subunit ribosomal RNA", at positions 338 to 659 of the family's 1533-position model. The record is from RNAcentral.